Populus nigra (black poplar) is the source of this 15546-nucleotide long non-coding RNA. RefSeq lists it as uncharacterized. Lineage: Eukaryota; Viridiplantae; Streptophyta; Magnoliopsida; Malpighiales; Salicaceae. The transcript has 3 exons. The record is from RefSeq and is a predicted model, not a curated record.
UUUUGCUGUUUUUAUGCCUUUAACUAUGGAGUGCACACUGGAGUCCACAGUGAAAAGGCUGAUGCUUUUUUGUUUGUUUUUUUCCUUUUUAGUUAAUUUUUUUCAUUUAGUUUAGUUUGUUAAUGUUCAAUUUUUUUCUAUUUAGUUAUCAAACUUUCAUGACACGGAUCCCGGGUUUGACGAGUUACCUCGUCAAUUUUUUUUUCUAUUUAGUUAUCAAACUUUUACGACACGAAUCCAAGGUUUGACGGGUUAACCUGGUUUGAAGGGUUAACCCUGUUAAUUCAGAUUUUUUUCUUUUUCUUCAUUAAUUUUUUACUUCAUUUUGGUUUUUUUUCUUUGUUUUUUUUCUUUUUAAUUAAUCUAUUUAAUUAUCACACUUUUAUGACACGAACAGCCAGACCCACAUCCAAGACUAUUGGGUCUGGUAUUGCAGUCAGACCCACUUAAACUUGGGUCAUGCAAGUUUAAUGUUAUUAUUAAUAUUAUAAAUAUUUGUCUUGGGUCAGGCGUUGCAGCCACGCCCAAGACUCUUGGGUAUACCUUUGCAAAAAGACCUAAUACUUUUAGAUCUUAAUUUUUUUUGAUAUUUUUUAUGCAAAAACCAUUGACCCGCGGCAUCGCGCGGGUCAUGUAACUAGUUAAUUUCUAUAAGAGAUGCCUUUAUGAUGGAUGAUUUCUGCACAAUUGUGUUGUUUCAUUUACAUUUUCAUUGAGUCACUUUCUACAUGCAACCAUUGAUUUAUUUGAUUUUUAUCUUGAGAGAAUAUAUGACCUGAGUGCAUUUGAGUAGUUAAGGCCAAAUGAUGAGUUUGGGAUCAGCUGGUGACCUGAGUGCCAUUCGUACCGUUCCACCACUGUUUACCUGUAGUAACCCCAUUCAGCUCUUCUGCUUCUAUUCCUCAUAGCUCAGUUUGUUACAACACUUUUAGUCACUUAUGUACUCGGAUAGCAACCAUGAUUAUUGAUCUGAAUGUUGUGUGCUCUAGCCUUUUCAAUUGUUAAGACAUCUUAAUAGAAAGCUUCUCCAUAUGGUUGCACAUUUUGACCUAAACACUGUAGAUUUUUCUUUAACCAUUUAUACUAGGUUCUUUGUCUGCUCGGCUUCUUAGAUUAGUUCAAGUAAUCCUCACUUGACUUCUUGCAUCAUUCCUAUAACAACCCGUGACAUCUCGCAAGUAAUUUACCUAGUCUAUUAGAUUGUGUUAAGUAUUCUCUCUUAGAGUUGUGUUCCCAAUCUGCUAGACGAUAUGGCAUAAUCAGUAGCAGUUUCUUGACCUUCUGCCAUGGUCACUUUAUCGUUUGAAUGAUGUACUCAGAUAAUUAUGCACCUUAAUGCUUUGAAAUGGGGACAAGCCACUUUUAUCCCACUAAACAGGUAAGGAUAAAGUAUCCGUGUGUAACUUAUCUAUAUGGUUUUGAUGUGGUACCUUUAUUAAAAAAGUUGAAGUUUCUCCCAAUUUUACCCCAGUAUUUGCAUAGGAUAGUCCACCAUGCUUGAUCUAAUUGAAAUAGUAUUGAUCUAGUAGAAACAUUGAUUCAAGUUUUGCUGUUCAUAAUUUGUAUACAAGUCUCCUCGUGUAACUUAUCUAUCCACAUGGUUCUGAUGUGGUCCCUUUAUUAAAAAAGUUGAAGUUUUCUCCCAAUUUUUCCCCACGACUAGCGCAGGUUAGUUCUCCACCGUGCUUGUUCUAACUGAAAUAGGAGAUCCAACAAAAACAUUGGUUCGAGUCGAGUUGUUAAUAAUUUGUAUGUUGGUCUACACAAGUGAAAACUGAGUAAUUACUUAUGCUAUUUUGUUCCAGAUGGUCAUUUCUCAACAUGUUUUGUUAAUUGAUUGUUGAUGUUUUCAUUAGCUUGGUGUGCAAAUUUGGGUUGAAAGUUUUUGGCAUGAGAAGCUUUGUAGUGAUUGCUUUUGGAAUCCAAGAAUGGAUAGUUGUGAGAGUUUUUAUUUGAUAAUUGUGGUUGAGUGGUACCAACAAUAAAAGUACGUUAUAAAGUACCUGCAUAUACGUUUCUGGUGUGCACCCCCAACCACAAUGCUACUAGGAAAUUUAUAUGAUCUGCGAAGCAAAACACUUUUUACUUGAUGUGAUAUUUGUAAGUAACUUAAAUUAUUUGACUGGCAUGUUCUUGAAUGCUAGUGGAGCAUUGUUUAUACCCAAGGACUUGUCUAUAAAUGUGUGUGCUUUUUGAAAAUUUGCAUGAGCUAAAUUGUUGAUGAAGUUGAUAUGACUCCUGUAAUGGUCUGCAUGCAUAUAUCGUUGAUUAUUCUUCUUAUUCUCCUAAGUAUUUACCUAAGCUGUAAUCUGUUGAGAUUUGGAUGUGUCCACAAACUAAUGGUUUGGACUGCAUAACUGUGGAUGGUUAGGAUAAAAAUCUUAUAUGUUAUUUUUUACAUGAUGAUUCUUAUACAUGUUUAUGAUGCCUUAACAAGUUACUAAUGAUCAGGUGAUUAAGUAAGGAAGAAAGUUGAUAUGACGGGGGGUUUUUAUGACUAUCGAUGCUCAAAGUUGAAGUUUAUGGACAUGAGUAAUUACUUGUGUUAUUUUGUUCUAGAAGGUUAUUUCUCUACGUGUUUUGUUAAUUGAUUGCUGAUGUUUUCAUUAGCUUGGUGUGCAAAUUUGGGUUGAAAGUUUUUGGUGUGAGAAGCUCUGUAGUUAUUGCUUUUGGAAUCCAAGGAUGGAUAGUUCUGAGAAAAAGUUUUAAUUUGAUAAUUUUGGUUGAUUGGUACCAACAAUAAAUGUAAGCUAUAAAGUACCUGCAUGUACGCUUCUGGUGUCCACCCCAACCACAAUGCUACUAGGAAAUUUAUAUGAUUUGCGAAGUAAAACACUUUUUCUUUGAUAUGAUAUUUGUAUGUAACUUAAAUUAUUUGACCGACAUGUUCUUGAGGUAAGAACAUGUUUAUGAUGCCUUAUACAUGAUGAUCCUUCUACAUGUUUAUGAUGCCUUAACAAGUUACUAAUGAUCAGGUGAUUAAGUAAGGAAGAAAGUCGUUAUGACGGGGGGGCUUUUAUGAUUAUCGAUGCUCAAAGUUGAAGUUUAUGAACAUAAUUAUGUAGAACAAAUCACAUUGAGGUAAGAAAUCUCAUGAUUGUGCAGUUUCCAUCACAGACUAAAAUGAGAAAACAGAGAGCUAGAGACUAAUUUCACAACUAAUCUGAAAUAACAAAAACAAAAUUUGGAAGCCCUAAUAUCCUUUGCUAAAUCUGAGAUGUUACAUGGUUCUUAAUUGUAGGGGAAGGAACUAAAUGAUGUUAACUCAUUGGCUGAAGUCAUAACACUAACUCUAAAGUGUGCUUUGAGUUGUUUUUAGAAACUUGAUUUUAAUAUUUCACUAUAAAAAUAUUUUUUUGACUAGCUGUUCUUCCAGGUGUUUCUGACAGGAUGGAUAGACUCAAUGCUGAAGUCACAACACAACUCUGAACUGUGAAUAUGCUUUAUUGUUUCUUUAUGUGAUAAAUGACUAGUCUAAGCUUCAGUUUUUUGUUCUUGUCUUUUAAUGUAUUAUUAAACUAUUAUGGCUUGUAAUCAAUGUUUUAAAUUAAUUUAUCCUGUCUGAUUUUCCAGCCGUUAUCCUUGCUGAAAUCCUAGAAGAUGAUGUUUUGGUCUUCCCCCACAUGUACUCGAUACUUACUGAGAUAGGUCAUGUUUACAUGGUUCCACUUAAGCAUUCAUCUUUUCAAAAAUGACAUGCUCUGUUUUAUUGGAACUUAUAGGUAUAAGAGGAGUUUGAAAGAGUUGCAUAAAAUGCUUCAUUGGUGCAAUGAGCAUUUCAACAGUUCAGCCAUGUAAACAAGGAGGCACUAGAUCAACAUGUAAAUCUCACUAGGAAACAGGAGGAACUUCAGACACGGCAAGCUGAACUUGAGGCAAGUGACAAGGUACUACGGUACUGGAUUUUAAUGGUUAAAUGUCUUCUGUUGUACUUAUUGUUUUUAAUGUGAGAUUAUGAUUUAUGUAUCUUUACUUCAACGAUAAACAUAAGCCAUAAAAAAAUAGACUGAGCUUGAGCCUGAUGUGAAAGACGUGCUAGAGAGAAUUUCAGAACAUAUCCAAGCCAAGGUAUCAAACUGUAGCAAAGAGAAAAAUGCUAAUUAUUUUUUGGGGAUAAAAAAUGUUGAAUGCUUUUAUUUAACAUGUGCUUUGCUUUCAGGAUGAUGCUAUGCUAAAAUGUAAGGUAUCUCCUCAACUAAAAUUUUCUACAUAUUACUACCUAAGCUAUAAUUUCAGCUGAAAGGGCCUCACUUUAGGUUUUUGUCCUCUACUGUCAAUAAACUAAUUUAUACAGCUAACAUGGUCGGUAAUAAUAAAACACAGUCUAGUAGAUGGAGAAUUUGCAAAUAAGUAAUUAAAACAUCAUUAUUUAAGAAUUAUUUGUGUAUUUUGUUACUUAAAUUAAUAUGUUAGGGGAUUUUAUACCUUCUUUGAUUUGACCUAGUGGAGGAUUUGGGGGACCUGAAUGGACACACAUAGUCGAGUGAAAUUUGAUUUUUUGCAAUUUAUACAGGUUUCCUUACUCUUGUGGAUAUGAACUCUUCUACUUUCGUCGUAGAUUCAAGGAAGCUUUUGUGGAUUUCUAGGUUUUCUUUCCUUCACUUGUUGUUGGGUGAUUUUUCGUUUUAGUCCAAGGAACCGGAACCAUCUUGUUAUGAGAAAUAAUUGAUUUUUAUUUUCCACAUUAACUGGACACUUCGAUGAUAAGUUUUUUACCUUUUCCAGAUGUUGUACUAGCUACAAAUGUUCGGGAUUUAUUCAAGGUCUAUAGCAGUAACUAGUAGAUGCCCACCAUUAUACUAAAAACAAGACCCCUUUGAAAAUUUCUAGUUUUAUGAUGAGCUGUCUUCAAGGUUUAUGUGUAAAUGUAUGGAUUAAUUGAAAUUAGAUAAGUAUGUUUUGCUACUUGGUAUGAGUAUGCAAUUGAACUUCUUAACUCUAUUGUUGCAAGUCCUCGUGCCUCUCUUGCCAUUUCCUUUAUAUUCUGAUUUUUUGAUUUUAAAUAAGUCAUCUACUUCAGGAAGAAAAUUAUAGGCUGAAUGCAGACUUCAAAGAGCGAAAUGCCUACGUUGAGAGCUGCAGAGCUGAAAUCGUUAUUUUCUAGUCUCAUGAAGGAUUCAAUAGUCAUAAAGCAUAGAGAAACAAGCUACAAGAAGCAUGUAUCCUUUUCUCUUUCUAUUUUGGUCAGGCUUAUUGAAAGGGCAUAGUUUGACUAGACUUUUCUGCUUUUGUAGAUCAUGGUGAAAAAGAAAAGUGAACUUAUUGUUGAAUUUGAUAAGCUAAGACCACAAGUGUUCUUAUUCCUCUGUCGUUGGGUCCUAUUUAUAGGAAAAAUCUCUUGUAGAUGUCACUAAUCAAAUAGUGAGCUUAAAGCCACUGUGACCACGAAACAAGGUGAGGUGGGCACAGAGCUCAUUGAUCACUUAACACCACAGGAAAAACAUGAACUAUCCCAGCUGAACUAAGAAAUAAAAGAUCUUAAAGAGGAGCUUAUUAAAUUUAGAACAGAUCGCAUCGAGGUAAGAUAUCUCAACCUUGUGAGAAGCAACUGUACUUAUCCUUAACAGGUAUUUGUUCUGUUUCACAUGAAGCUUUUGUGGCCUUCCAAGCUACUUCCAUAUUUAUGAUCUGCUUUCUGAUAGGCCUCUUGCUUGCUGUCAUGCAUGCCUAUAUGCUAAUGGGUGUAUGGUAAUACAUUGCCCCAAAAGUUUCUGUAUAUUUGUUGCUAAUUGAGGUGGGUGACUUUUUGGAAGAAAAUAGUUUAUUAUCGUUUAUUAUUGCCACCUGUUGCACUAGAGGUGAUAGAUUGAUGUUGCACUGAUGUGUCUUGGCCUCAAACCCUAGAAAAAUAAUAUUACUUGUCACUGAAAAAUGAGUAAAUAAAAAGAAACGAAUUAUUCCUCAUGCUUUUACAAUGUCUAUCUGCUAUUUGUGAUUUAUUAAGAUACAUUUUGAGUAUUAACAUUAGUUUUUGUUACUAUGAAGGCAAAGGUGAUGGUACAAAUGCAGAAUCUGGAGCACAUGAAGAAGAUUUUCUCAUCCAGGAUGAGAUUUCUAAAUCUUGUCUAGUGAACGUGUAGCGUGUAAGUCAUUCUUUAUGGAGAUGCUGCAUUUUGCAAGUAUUGCAAAAGUUGCAAGUGCUCCAUUAUACAUGCAUCCCUUGUUAUUGAAUUGUUGAUUAUCUGUAGGAGGAAGAGACAAUUUUGCAUGAGAGAGACGGCUAUAAACUGGAAGAGGGACGUCUUAUACGUGAAUUGAAAAGGAUACGAGAUGAGGAUGAUUCAAGUUUUAAUAAUUUUCAGAUUUUAAAUCAUCAAUAUGCCCUUUUAAACCUUCUUGGGCAAGGAGGAUUUAGUGAGGUUUACAAGGUCCGAACUUCGGCAAGUAGUUUCAAUUGAUAAUAGAAAGUAGUUUCAUUUGAUAAUAGAAACACUAACCUUUGCUUGUUUGAUGAAAAUUCUUAUAUACCAUGACAAGAGUAUAGAUCAUUCUGUUGCCAAUAUUGACAAUUGUAAAAGCACAUCCUUUUGCAGUGAUUUGAAGUGAGAAAUUUCCGGCAGGCUUAUGAUUUGGUCGAGCAUAGGUAUGUUCCAUGAAGGUGCAGGGCAUCAUGUUUUAUCUGCUUUUGUUGAGAUUGUGUUGAUAAUUCCGACAAUCACAUCCCGGUAAUACUUCAUAACCUACUUCUUUUUCUUUUCUGAGGUAUGGAGUGUAAAUAAUGGUCCACAUCUUAUUACGAAAGAAGAAGGAUCCUGAAUUUUAUAUUUGUUUUCUUCUUCUUCUAACAUAUAAGCUUAUCUUUAUCUUUACAAAGCUUCUCCCACAAUGCUCCAGAAUUUCUUUUGAAUUAGUUGUUCUAUCAUGAGGCAUAAUUUUAUUUUAGUUCAGAAAGUCAAACUUUGGCCACCAUUGAUUGGGAUAACAAUCUAGGAUUCUGCCACUAUCCUUCCAUCCAUGCCUGUUAUAUUUUCCUAGAUCUUUUCCGUGCUUUCCUAGGCUGCUAAUAAGGCUGUUACAUGUUUUGCUGGCAAUGAUAGUUUGUUUUUAGACUUUUGAUGUCUCUUUAUACUGUGACUGUGCGAUGCUCUUAUUAGCAUUUCUUUAAUGGGUGCUGGUAAGGAUUAUGAACAUUAGUUUUAUCAAUAGUGAUGCACAUCAUUCACAUAUUUGCCCUUUAUGCCCAUGUGUUGUGUUAACAAAUGCUGCUGCCCAUAAUUUUUUCCCAGAUCUUUUUCGUGCUUUCCUAGGCUGCCAAUAAGGCUGUUACGUGUUUUGCUAGCAAUGAUAGUUUGUUUUUAAAUUUUGAUGUCUCUCUACAUACUGUGACUGUGCAAUACCUUUAUUAGCGUUUCUGUAAUGGAUGCUGGUAAGGAUUAUGAGCAUUAUUCAAUCAGGAUAAAAUUGUUGCUGCUGCAACUUGACUACACCUACUGGAGAAAGCAGUUGAGAAUAUGAUUGAUUUGGUGACUGCCUUUAUUUUUAACAAAACUGGUUUCCAUUCUGUUCAUGCAAUGACUGUUUUGCUACUUAAAUAUGCAUGGUGGGUUGAAUGGGUUCCCUAUCUGCCUUGUCAGAUGAAUUAACAAUAAACUAAAACUGCUCAGUGUUUCACUGUGGAAGUCCAUAGUGAAACACUGAGCAGUCUUCUUCUUUUUCUUUCUUCUUUUUCUGUUUUUAUUUUUUUUGGUUUUUUUUUUUCGUUUUCCAUGUCUAUGGUUUUUUUUUUUUGCUUUUUUCUGUGGUUUUUUCUUUUGAUGAACUUUUUUUGUUUAAUUUAGUUUGUUAAUGUUAAUUAUUUUUAUUUAGUUAUCAGAUUUUCAUGACACGGAUCCCGGGUUUGACGGGUUAAUCCAGUUUAUUCAGUUUUUUUUUAAUUUUUUUUAUUAGUUUUUUUCUUCUUGUAUGUUUUUUUUCUCUUUGCUUUUUCCUUUUUAAUUAAUCUUUUUUUAAUUUUUUUCAUUAAUAAUAAAUCUUUUUAUAUUUAGUUAUAACACUUUCAUGACAUGAAUUUGAGGUUUGACAGGUUAACCUGAUUUGGCGGGUUAACCCGGUUGAUUCAGAUUUUUUUAUUUUUCCUCAUCUUUUUUUUAUUUAGUUUGUUAAUAUUAAAUAUUUUCUAUUUAAUUAUCAGACUUUCAUGACAUAGAUUUCAGGUUUGACGGGUUAACCCAAUUUAUUCAGAUUUUUUUUAUUUUUCUUCGUUAGUUUUUUUCUUCCUGUAUGUUUUUUUUCUUUGCUUUUUUCCUUUUUAAUUAAUCUUCCUUUUUAAUUUAUUUCAUUAAUAAUAAAUCUUUUUUUCUAUUUAGUUAUUACACUUUCAUGACACGAAUUCCAGGUUUGACACGUUAACCCGGUUGAAUCGGAUUUUUUUUCUUUUUCCUCAUUAGUUUUGUUCUUUUGAUUUCAUCUUUUAAUAUUGUAUGCAGUCCACAAUGAAAAGGCUGAAGCCUUUAGUUUUUUUUUUUGCUUUUUUUUAUUCCUUUCACUGUAGACUGCACAGUGCAGCCCACGGUGAAAAAAGGCUGAUGCUUUUUUUUUCUUUUUAAUUAAUUUUUUUAUUUAGUUUGUUGAUAUUAAUUUUUUCUCUAUUUAUUUAUCAGACUUUCAUGACACGGAUUUCAGGUUUCACGGGUUAACCCAGUUAAUUUAGAUUUGUUUCUUUCUUCAUUAGUUUUUUUCUUCUUAUAAGUUUUUUUUCUUGUGGAUUGUUUCUUUUUAUUUAAUUUAGUUUAUCAAUAUUAAAAUUUUUUCUAUUUAGUUAUCGACCGAUGCUUUUAUUUUUUCUUUUUGUUUUUUUGCUGUUUUUAUGCCUUUAACUAUGGAGUGCACACUGGAGUCCACAGUGAAAAGGCUGAUGCUUUUUUGUUUGUUUUUUUCCUUUUUAGUUAAUUUUUUUCAUUUAGUUUAGUUUGUUAAUGUUCAAUUUUUUUCUAUUUAGUUAUCAAACUUUCAUGACACGGAUCCCGGGUUUGACGAGUUACCUCGUCAAUUUUUUUUUCUAUUUAGUUAUCAAACUUUUACGACACGAAUCCAAGGUUUGACGGGUUAACCUGGUUUGAAGGGUUAACCCUGUUAAUUCAGAUUUUUUUCUUUUUCUUCAUUAAUUUUUUACUUCAUUUUGGUUUUUUUUCUUUGUUUUUUUUCUUUUUAAUUAAUCUAUUUAAUUAUCACACUUUUAUGACACGAACAGCCAGACCCACAUCCAAGACUAUUGGGUCUGGUAUUGCAGUCAGACCCACUUAAACUUGGGUCAUGCAAGUUUAAUGUUAUUAUUAAUAUUAUAAAUAUUUGUCUUGGGUCAGGCGUUGCAGCCACGCCCAAGACUCUUGGGUAUACCUUUGCAAAAAGACCUAAUACUUUUAGAUCUUAAUUUUUUUUGAUAUUUUUUAUGCAAAAACCAUUGACCCGCGGCAUCGCGCGGGUCAUGUAACUAGUUAAUUUCUAUAAGAGAUGCCUUUAUGAUGGAUGAUUUCUGCACAAUUGUGUUGUUUCAUUUACAUUUUCAUUGAGUCACUUUCUACAUGCAACCAUUGAUUUAUUUGAUUUUUAUCUUGAGAGAAUAUAUGACCUGAGUGCAUUUGAGUAGUUAAGGCCAAAUGAUGAGUUUGGGAUCAGCUGGUGACCUGAGUGCCAUUCGUACCGUUCCACCACUGUUUACCUGUAGUAACCCCAUUCAGCUCUUCUGCUUCUAUUCCUCAUAGCUCAGUUUGUUACAACACUUUUAGUCACUUAUGUACUCGGAUAGCAACCAUGAUUAUUGAUCUGAAUGUUGUGUGCUCUAGCCUUUUCAAUUGUUAAGACAUCUUAAUAGAAAGCUUCUCCAUAUGGUUGCACAUUUUGACCUAAACACUGUAGAUUUUUCUUUAACCAUUUAUACUAGGUUCUUUGUCUGCUCGGCUUCUUAGAUUAGUUCAAGUAAUCCUCACUUGACUUCUUGCAUCAUUCCUAUAACAACCCGUGACAUCUCGCAAGUAAUUUACCUAGUCUAUUAGAUUGUGUUAAGUAUUCUCUCUUAGAGUUGUGUUCCCAAUCUGCUAGACGAUAUGGCAUAAUCAGUAGCAGUUUCUUGACCUUCUGCCAUGGUCACUUUAUCGUUUGAAUGAUGUACUCAGAUAAUUAUGCACCUUAAUGCUUUGAAAUGGGGACAAGCCACUUUUAUCCCACUAAACAGGUAAGGAUAAAGUAUCCGUGUGUAACUUAUCUAUAUGGUUUUGAUGUGGUACCUUUAUUAAAAAAGUUGAAGUUUCUCCCAAUUUUACCCCAGUAUUUGCAUAGGAUAGUCCACCAUGCUUGAUCUAAUUGAAAUAGUAUUGAUCUAGUAGAAACAUUGAUUCAAGUUUUGCUGUUCAUAAUUUGUAUACAAGUCUCCUCGUGUAACUUAUCUAUCCACAUGGUUCUGAUGUGGUCCCUUUAUUAAAAAAGUUGAAGUUUUCUCCCAAUUUUUCCCCACGACUAGCGCAGGUUAGUUCUCCACCGUGCUUGUUCUAACUGAAAUAGGAGAUCCAACAAAAACAUUGGUUCGAGUCGAGUUGUUAAUAAUUUGUAUGUUGGUCUACACAAGUGAAAACUGAGUAAUUACUUAUGCUAUUUUGUUCCAGAUGGUCAUUUCUCAACAUGUUUUGUUAAUUGAUUGUUGAUGUUUUCAUUAGCUUGGUGUGCAAAUUUGGGUUGAAAGUUUUUGGCAUGAGAAGCUUUGUAGUGAUUGCUUUUGGAAUCCAAGAAUGGAUAGUUGUGAGAGUUUUUAUUUGAUAAUUGUGGUUGAGUGGUACCAACAAUAAAAGUACGUUAUAAAGUACCUGCAUAUACGUUUCUGGUGUGCACCCCCAACCACAAUGCUACUAGGAAAUUUAUAUGAUCUGCGAAGCAAAACACUUUUUACUUGAUGUGAUAUUUGUAAGUAACUUAAAUUAUUUGACUGGCAUGUUCUUGAAUGCUAGUGGAGCAUUGUUUAUACCCAAGGACUUGUCUAUAAAUGUGUGUGCUUUUUGAAAAUUUGCAUGAGCUAAAUUGUUGAUGAAGUUGAUAUGACUCCUGUAAUGGUCUGCAUGCAUAUAUCGUUGAUUAUUCUUCUUAUUCUCCUAAGUAUUUACCUAAGCUGUAAUCUGUUGAGAUUUGGAUGUGUCCACAAACUAAUGGUUUGGACUGCAUAACUGUGGAUGGUUAGGAUAAAAAUCUUAUAUGUUAUUUUUUACAUGAUGAUUCUUAUACAUGUUUAUGAUGCCUUAACAAGUUACUAAUGAUCAGGUGAUUAAGUAAGGAAGAAAGUUGAUAUGACGGGGGGUUUUUAUGACUAUCGAUGCUCAAAGUUGAAGUUUAUGGACAUGAGUAAUUACUUGUGUUAUUUUGUUCUAGAAGGUUAUUUCUCUACGUGUUUUGUUAAUUGAUUGCUGAUGUUUUCAUUAGCUUGGUGUGCAAAUUUGGGUUGAAAGUUUUUGGUGUGAGAAGCUCUGUAGUUAUUGCUUUUGGAAUCCAAGGAUGGAUAGUUCUGAGAAAAAGUUUUAAUUUGAUAAUUUUGGUUGAUUGGUACCAACAAUAAAUGUAAGCUAUAAAGUACCUGCAUGUACGCUUCUGGUGUCCACCCCAACCACAAUGCUACUAGGAAAUUUAUAUGAUUUGCGAAGUAAAACACUUUUUCUUUGAUAUGAUAUUUGUAUGUAACUUAAAUUAUUUGACCGACAUGUUCUUGAGGUAAGAACAUGUUUAUGAUGCCUUAUACAUGAUGAUCCUUCUACAUGUUUAUGAUGCCUUAACAAGUUACUAAUGAUCAGGUGAUUAAGUAAGGAAGAAAGUCGUUAUGACGGGGGGGCUUUUAUGAUUAUCGAUGCUCAAAGUUGAAGUUUAUGAACAUAAUUAUGUAGAACAAAUCACAUUGAGGUAAGAAAUCUCAUGAUUGUGCAGUUUCCAUCACAGACUAAAAUGAGAAAACAGAGAGCUAGAGACUAAUUUCACAACUAAUCUGAAAUAACAAAAACAAAAUUUGGAAGCCCUAAUAUCCUUUGCUAAAUCUGAGAUGUUACAUGGUUCUUAAUUGUAGGGGAAGGAACUAAAUGAUGUUAACUCAUUGGCUGAAGUCAUAACACUAACUCUAAAGUGUGCUUUGAGUUGUUUUUAGAAACUUGAUUUUAAUAUUUCACUAUAAAAAUAUUUUUUUGACUAGCUGUUCUUCCAGGUGUUUCUGACAGGAUGGAUAGACUCAAUGCUGAAGUCACAACACAACUCUGAACUGUGAAUAUGCUUUAUUGUUUCUUUAUGUGAUAAAUGACUAGUCUAAGCUUCAGUUUUUUGUUCUUGUCUUUUAAUGUAUUAUUAAACUAUUAUGGCUUGUAAUCAAUGUUUUAAAUUAAUUUAUCCUGUCUGAUUUUCCAGCCGUUAUCCUUGCUGAAAUCCUAGAAGAUGAUGUUUUGGUCUUCCCCCACAUGUACUCGAUACUUACUGAGAUAGGUCAUGUUUACAUGGUUCCACUUAAGCAUUCAUCUUUUCAAAAAUGACAUGCUCUGUUUUAUUGGAACUUAUAGGUAUAAGAGGAGUUUGAAAGAGUUGCAUAAAAUGCUUCAUUGGUGCAAUGAGCAUUUCAACAGUUCAGCCAUGUAAACAAGGAGGCACUAGAUCAACAUGUAAAUCUCACUAGGAAACAGGAGGAACUUCAGACACGGCAAGCUGAACUUGAGGCAAGUGACAAGGUACUACGGUACUGGAUUUUAAUGGUUAAAUGUCUUCUGUUGUACUUAUUGUUUUUAAUGUGAGAUUAUGAUUUAUGUAUCUUUACUUCAACGAUAAACAUAAGCCAUAAAAAAAUAGACUGAGCUUGAGCCUGAUGUGAAAGACGUGCUAGAGAGAAUUUCAGAACAUAUCCAAGCCAAGGUAUCAAACUGUAGCAAAGAGAAAAAUGCUAAUUAUUUUUUGGGGAUAAAAAAUGUUGAAUGCUUUUAUUUAACAUGUGCUUUGCUUUCAGGAUGAUGCUAUGCUAAAAUGUAAGGUAUCUCCUCAACUAAAAUUUUCUACAUAUUACUACCUAAGCUAUAAUUUCAGCUGAAAGGGCCUCACUUUAGGUUUUUGUCCUCUACUGUCAAUAAACUAAUUUAUACAGCUAACAUGGUCGGUAAUAAUAAAACACAGUCUAGUAGAUGGAGAAUUUGCAAAUAAGUAAUUAAAACAUCAUUAUUUAAGAAUUAUUUGUGUAUUUUGUUACUUAAAUUAAUAUGUUAGGGGAUUUUAUACCUUCUUUGAUUUGACCUAGUGGAGGAUUUGGGGGACCUGAAUGGACACACAUAGUCGAGUGAAAUUUGAUUUUUUGCAAUUUAUACAGGUUUCCUUACUCUUGUGGAUAUGAACUCUUCUACUUUCGUCGUAGAUUCAAGGAAGCUUUUGUGGAUUUCUAGGUUUUCUUUCCUUCACUUGUUGUUGGGUGAUUUUUCGUUUUAGUCCAAGGAACCGGAACCAUCUUGUUAUGAGAAAUAAUUGAUUUUUAUUUUCCACAUUAACUGGACACUUCGAUGAUAAGUUUUUUACCUUUUCCAGAUGUUGUACUAGCUACAAAUGUUCGGGAUUUAUUCAAGGUCUAUAGCAGUAACUAGUAGAUGCCCACCAUUAUACUAAAAACAAGACCCCUUUGAAAAUUUCUAGUUUUAUGAUGAGCUGUCUUCAAGGUUUAUGUGUAAAUGUAUGGAUUAAUUGAAAUUAGAUAAGUAUGUUUUGCUACUUGGUAUGAGUAUGCAAUUGAACUUCUUAACUCUAUUGUUGCAAGUCCUCGUGCCUCUCUUGCCAUUUCCUUUAUAUUCUGAUUUUUUGAUUUUAAAUAAGUCAUCUACUUCAGGAAGAAAAUUAUAGGCUGAAUGCAGACUUCAAAGAGCGAAAUGCCUACGUUGAGAGCUGCAGAGCUGAAAUCGUUAUUUUCUAGUCUCAUGAAGGAUUCAAUAGUCAUAAAGCAUAGAGAAACAAGCUACAAGAAGCAUGUAUCCUUUUCUCUUUCUAUUUUGGUCAGGCUUAUUGAAAGGGCAUAGUUUGACUAGACUUUUCUGCUUUUGUAGAUCAUGGUGAAAAAGAAAAGUGAACUUAUUGUUGAAUUUGAUAAGCUAAGACCACAAGUGUUCUUAUUCCUCUGUCGUUGGGUCCUAUUUAUAGGAAAAAUCUCUUGUAGAUGUCACUAAUCAAAUAGUGAGCUUAAAGCCACUGUGACCACGAAACAAGGUGAGGUGGGCACAGAGCUCAUUGAUCACUUAACACCACAGGAAAAACAUGAACUAUCCCAGCUGAACUAAGAAAUAAAAGAUCUUAAAGAGGAGCUUAUUAAAUUUAGAACAGAUCGCAUCGAGGUAAGAUAUCUCAACCUUGUGAGAAGCAACUGUACUUAUCCUUAACAGGUAUUUGUUCUGUUUCACAUGAAGCUUUUGUGGCCUUCCAAGCUACUUCCAUAUUUAUGAUCUGCUUUCUGAUAGGCCUCUUGCUUGCUGUCAUGCAUGCCUAUAUGCUAAUGGGUGUAUGGUAAUACAUUGCCCCAAAAGUUUCUGUAUAUUUGUUGCUAAUUGAGGUGGGUGACUUUUUGGAAGAAAAUAGUUUAUUAUCGUUUAUUAUUGCCACCUGUUGCACUAGAGGUGAUAGAUUGAUGUUGCACUGAUGUGUCUUGGCCUCAAACCCUAGAAAAAUAAUAUUACUUGUCACUGAAAAAUGAGUAAAUAAAAAGAAACGAAUUAUUCCUCAUGCUUUUACAAUGUCUAUCUGCUAUUUGUGAUUUAUUAAGAUACAUUUUGAGUAUUAACAUUAGUUUUUGUUACUAUGAAGGCAAAGGUGAUGGUACAAAUGCAGAAUCUGGAGCACAUGAAGAAGAUUUUCUCAUCCAGGAUGAGAUUUCUAAAUCUUGUCUAGUGAACGUGUAGCGUGUAAGUCAUUCUUUAUGGAGAUGCUGCAUUUUGCAAGUAUUGCAAAAGUUGCAAGUGCUCCAUUAUACAUGCAUCCCUUGUUAUUGAAUUGUUGAUUAUCUGUAGGAGGAAGAGACAAUUUUGCAUGAGAGAGACGGCUAUAAACUGGAAGAGGGACGUCUUAUACGUGAAUUGAAAAGGAUACGAGAUGAGGAUGAUUCAAGUUUUAAUAAUUUUCAGAUUUUAAAUCAUCAAUAUGCCCUUUUAAACCUUCUUGGGCAAGGAGGAUUUAGUGAGGUUUACAAGGUCCGAACUUCGGCAAGUAGUUUCAAUUGAUAAUAGAAAGUAGUUUCAUUUGAUAAUAGAAACACUAACCUUUGCUUGUUUGAUGAAAAUUCUUAUAUACCAUGACAAGAGUAUAGAUCAUUCUGUUGCCAAUAUUGACAAUUGUAAAAGCACAUCCUUUUGCAGUGAUUUGAAGUGAGAAAUUUCCGGCAGGCUUAUGAUUUGGUCGAGCAUAGGAAGGUGCAGGGCAUCAUGUUUUAUCUGCUUUUGUUGAGAUUGUGUUGAUAAUUCCGACAAUCACAUCCCGGUAAUACUUCAUAACCUACUUCUUUUUCUUUUCUGAGGUAUGGAGUGUAAAUAAUGGUCCACAUCUUAUUACGAAAGAAGAAGGAUCCUGAAUUUUAUA